RNAcentral lists this long non-coding RNA (588 nucleotides) under Homo sapiens (human). RNAcentral's name for it is "non-protein coding lnc-GRIN3A-3:3". The record is from RNAcentral. Lineage: Eukaryota; Metazoa; Chordata; Mammalia; Primates; Hominidae.
AGUAGCUAGAAGAGAUACAAAAAAAUAACUGCAUGCGUAAUAAUAUACCUGGAGCUCAAAAACUGUUAGUGUACAGGAAGAAUCUGAAGAGAAAGAAAUAAUUUAUUUUCCUUCAACAUUUAAAAUGAUUAGAAUACAGGAUUUAUUUUAAUUGCCCAUAUAUAAUUUUAUUAUUAAAAUUAUAUAUAUCUAGUAUGACAUAUACAACAUUUUUUUGCACUAAAUCAACCAAGAAAUAUAUAUAAUAACUGAACUAGAUGACUUUGCAUAUAGUUGAGCGGUUCUGAGUGAUAGCCAUAGAUGCAAUUUACUCUACUGUCUAUUUUUGUCUUCCUAUUUAUUUUUGUGUUUGCCUAAGAAGUCCUUCUUUGAUAGUCUGAAUGACUUGUAUCUCUUUGAAAUUAUGUUGUAUUCCUGUUGUAUUAAGGUGUGUGUGUGUGUGUGUGUAUGUAUGUGUGUCUGUGUGUGUGUGUGUGUAAGGAUGGAAGAGAGGAAAGAGAAAGAUGAGAAUGUCUUGGAUUAAUUUUUCUCUUGGAACUGGCCCUGUAUCGGUUAGCCAUAGGCAGAAGACUGAAGCUGGACCCAUAC